This 637-nucleotide ribosomal RNA is filed under the name uncultured bacterium. RNAcentral's name for it is "bacterial SSU rRNA". It matches the Rfam family "Bacterial small subunit ribosomal RNA", at positions 232 to 879 of the family's 1533-position model. The record is from RNAcentral.
CGCGGCCUAUCAGCUUGUUGGUGAGGUAAUGGCUCACCAAGGCGACGACGGGUAGCCGGCCUGAGAGGGCGACCGGCCACACUAGGACUGAGACACGGCCCAGACUCCUACGGGAGGCAGCAGUGGGGAAUAUUGCACAAUGGGCGAAAGCCUGAUGCAGCGACGCCGCGUGAGGGAUGACGGCCUUCGGGUUGUAAACCUCUUUCAGCAGGGAAGAAGCGAAAGUGACGGUACCUGCAGAAGAAGCACCGGCUAACUACGUGCCAGCAGCCGCGGUAAUACGUAGGGUGCGAGCGUUGUCCGGAAUUAUUGGGCGUAAAGAGCUUGUAGGCGGUUUGUCGCGUCUGCUGUGAAAAUCCGGGGCUCAACCCCGGACUUGCAGUGGGUACGGGCAGACUAGAGUGUGGUAGGGGAGACUGGAAUUCCUGGUGUAGCGGUGAAAUGCGCAGAUAUCAGGAGGAACACCGAUGGCGAAGGCAGGUCUCUGGGCCACUACUGACGCUGAGAAGCGAAAGCAUGGGGAGCGAACAGGAUUAGAUACCCUGGUAGUCCAUGCCGUAAACGUUGGGAACUAGGUGUGGGUCUCAUUCCACGAGAUCCGUGCCGCAGCUAACGCAUUAAGUUCCCCGCCUGGGGA